RNAcentral lists this long non-coding RNA (6863 nucleotides) under Malus domestica (apple). Its description in RNAcentral is "long non-coding RNA (MDOM_LNC018354)". Lineage: Eukaryota; Viridiplantae; Streptophyta; Magnoliopsida; Rosales; Rosaceae. The record is from RNAcentral.
GAAGAUGCCGUAGACGGCGUUGUUUGUGGUUUGGACGGUGACGUUGUAGAAGCCGGUGGAGCGGUUGGCGUUGGAUGAGAGGUUGGAAAGGAGGCGGUUGAGGUUGGACUGGAUGGUGGAGUUUGGGGUGAAGGUGGUGGUGUUUGGGCAGAUGUGGGAAAGGUAUACUGCUUCCGUAUUGGUCAGAAAGCUGGGCAGAGUAAAAAUGGAGAAAAUCAAAAGAAGGGUAGUCAUGCUUUUCAUUUUUUGGUGAUUCAUCGUAACAUCAUAGGUUUUUGUACUUAGUAUUAACAAGAGCAAUGCAGGGUGGCAGCAAGACUUGUCAGUUUUGAGUAUUGAUUAGAAGAGUUCCUCUCGUACAACCGGGCUUUAGUCUCAAUGCCAUCAACUUCUAAGAGCAACUCCACCCUUGGAGCCCUUCCCCCAGACAAUCCACUAUUUAAUCAACCAUGUGAACAGUAACUGCCAUAAUGAACAGUAACUGCCUUUUGCAUCUCCACCCUUGCACUUGAAUAGUCCUGGCAAUAAGCAAUAAAAUAUUUAUUAAUUUUUUUUUUACAAAAUAAUACAAAAUAAAUUUAUUUGUAAUUUCGGAUAAGAUAUUUUAAAUCGUUCUCGUUGCGCCAUGUGUCAUUUACCCAAAACGACUAUUAUUGGUCAUAGAUUUCGAUAAGAUUUUUAUCCAAUGUCAUCGUGCCACUUGUCGUUAUCUUUUCAGAAUCUUUGAGGAUAUAUUUCGAUCAGAUUUUAAAUCGUUCUCGUUGUACCACGUGUCAUUAUCCGAAAAAAUAAUUAUUGGUGAUGGAUUUGGAUAAGAUUUUUAUCCAAUGCCGUUAUGUCACGUGUCGUUAUCUUUUCAAAAUCUUUUAGGAUAGAUUUCGAUCAAAUUUUUAACGAAUGACGGCAUGCCACGUGGCAUUAUCUACAACCUAAUCAUUUCAGAAUCCUCCAUAUAAUCCAUCAUCCAUUCUUAAUCCAACAUCUUCAAGAAGCGUCCAAUUCGUACCUGCAUCUGUAGUCAUUUUGUUGAAAAAAAUUGGAUUGAAACUUUGAGAGAAAGAUAGGAAUGUGAUUGAAAGUAGUUGAGAAAAUAUGAAAUUGUGGUGUAAAGUAGAUGAUAAUGAGUAGGUAUUUAUAGAAAAGUAUAAACAUUUUUUUUAAAUUUCAGAUAUUUUUUUCGACUUUUUUACAAUUUUUUAAAUUUUUUUAUUCAAAUAAUUAAUCUCUGCCGUUGGAUUUAAAAAAAAUUGAAUUCCAACACUCUAGAUUGUGCCACGUGUCACAACGGUAACUUUUCUUAAUUUUAAAACUAUUUUUUAUUUAUUUAUAAAGCAUAUUAAUAUCGAUCGUUGAUCUCAAAUCGAACGGUUGAUAUUAAAUAAGAUUUAUUUUUAGUUUUUUUACCGUUGAGAUCCAAUGGUCCAAAUUAAAGAGCCGUUGAGAUCGAACGGACCGUGGGAUGCCACGUGGCUUCCCAACGGUAACUUUUCUGUCUGAAAAGUCGUCUGACUUUUUUGAAACUUGGUCGGGCGACGAAUGGGGGUGCACGCGCCUGACAAAAAUAAAAUAAAAAAAAGGGUUGAGCCACUCGGGCUCUCGGGCUAUCAACUCCUCACAGGCCCGGAGCUCAGGCCUCACCUCCCCUCGGGCUCCUUCAAGGCUGGAGCAAGUUCAGGGCCUCGGGCCCCUUUCCUUUCCCCUGUCCCCCGAGCAAUGUCCAUGGGUGGACUUGCUCUAAUAAGUGCUUGCAACUUGUUCAAAAGUUGCACUAUUCUUUCCAAUCCACUGAUCAAUUGUUUUGUUGUUUAUUCGUACAAAAAGCAAGGGUAAUCCGACUGAUAGAUGACUCAUACCGUUGUUGUUAAUUAAAUUAUAUUGAUUAACGUGUUAAUUUUUUUUAUUAGAAACAUAUUAUUUUGCUUGGAAAUUUAAUUUAAAAUUUUAAUAUUCCUAACAUUAUUCAAAAAGUAAUCACGGCUUCAUGUUGACAAGUUUAAAUUACUAUUUUUAUGAGUGAUAAUCUAAAUUAAUUUAAUUUAAAUUAUAAAAGGGAGAUCCAUUUAGGAUAAAAAGAGAAAACAUUAACCAAUUUGAUUAAGCCCACCUAAAUUGCCAACUUUAAUUAUUGAUUAUUACCCACGAGGAUGUUAGAAGUUCAUUAAACUUCAAGAGUACAACAUAUUGGGAUAUGUCAUUUACCGCCAUGUAAAAAAGUUAAAAACUUAAAAUAUAGGACAAUGCAUUAUUAAGUGGGACCACUACACUACUAUGUUGUUCUCCCUCAUGCACCACCAUGUGAUAAGUUAUUUCUAGAUGUUCGUACUAUAUACGUGUUUGCAGUGACUAAGUCAGAAUUUUCAAAUAAUAGGGUCUUAAUUUUAACCAAAAAAAUAACUUCAAUGGACCAUUUCGUCGAGCACCUAAUGGGUACUCGUUUAUUCUUGCCAAUAUUUGCCAAAAGCUUACGCUAACGUAUGUCGAUAAUUACUAUGAUCAGUAGAGGCUUGUCGAGCGGAGUUGUAGAAAACUAUCGAGUAAUGUUGAAGAUUGUCAAAGCUUGUCAACUGAGACAUUUCAUCGAGCACUUGGUUCACACCAUAGAGUCGCAUACAAGAAGAGAUAGAUGAUAAAAGAAAACAAAAUUAGGAGGAGGAAGUAUGAUUUAGUUUGUCAUAACUGUUUAUAAUGAUCAAAUACAAAUACAAAGUCAAAUGUACAUAAAUAUUUGGGUGAAGUGCCGAUUUAGUUCCUGAACUAUCACCUCAGUGAAAAUUAGGUCUUUAAAUUAUUUUUUCGGUAAAUAAGUCCCUAAAUUCAUUAGAAAUUGCUAAUUUCAUCCCUACUAUUAUAUUCAAAGCUAUUUUAUCCAAUUUUUUGUCAACUUAAGUCACUUGACACACUUUAGAGUGUAAUACCAUCAUUUUCUCGUCUAUAAGUGCUUAAAAUUUCAUAUUGGUUGCGAAUUUAAUGUCUAAUUUACCCUCAAAAGUUAACUUACACCAUUUCUUUAUGAAAAACUACUAAUUUCUCAUCCAAAGUUAACUUCAUACACUAUUUCUUUAUGAAAAACUACCAAUCUACCCUCCAAUGUGUAUCACAUGCAAGUAACGUGACUUAAAUUGACGAAAAUUAAAUAUAGUAGCUUCAAAUAUAACAUUAGGGAUGUAAUUGGCAGAUUUUUAUAAUUCAAGGACUAAUUUUUCUGAAAAAAUAGUUUAGAGGUUUAAUUUUCACUAAGGUAAUAAUUCAUGGACUAAAUUGACAUUUUACCCUAAAUGUUUUAAAGCUGUUGGAAUCAUAAACAACGAAUGACUUCAUAUUAAUUACGCCGUUAUAAGUUUGGACUUUAUACAUUCACCUAAGAAAACAAAAUACAUAUUAUUUGCCAAAUUCAUAUAGGUGAAAAAUAAAAAUUGCAAUGUAGGAAAAAGUAAUUGAAACUUUACAAUCUGAAAAGUCACGGCAGAUGGUCUUUUGUCAAAGAGUAUAAAGUAAAAAAACUUUAAUUUUUCGUGUGGAAAAGUAUCUCACUAGUUAUGUCACUAUCUCAGUCAAAUUCGUAGAAGAAACGUAAACGAAGGAGACGAAUAUAAAAUUUCGUAAGAAUUACGUAUAAAUUUAUUAUAAUAUACAGAUACGAUGGAGACGUAAGUGCCAAAAGGGUACCAUAUAAUAUACUAUUAAACUUGAAUUUUCAACAAUAAUAUAAUUACAUAAAAUCUGUUGAUUUGUUGCUGAUGAGACUUGUUCUGUUGAUCUUGGAUAAAUAUAAUUUAUGUUUCUUCGCUAUUAAAGAUUUGAAUCUUUGAAACAAAUAAACUUACCCGUGUAUGUUAAACAGUAUCAAUUAGCUUAAGAAAAUUUUCAUAAGGUGAGUCAAUUUUUUUCGUUAUUAAACAAAUGCGUGUUAAAAUAAUAAAAUGCCAAACUUGAAACACAUAUGUACAAGAACCGAUGACAAAUAAAAUGUAAGAAAAAGAGAUGUUUGUGAAAAAUAUUAUAUAAUUUUUUUAAUUAAACUGAGAUAAUUAAAAUUAAUGGCUAAAUAUACGAUGGAUUACCUUUGUAAAAUAAUAAAAAUUAAAUGUAAUUUUUUUUUUUCCUCGAAAGCUUAGAUUCCAACGAGAAACUUGCAUUUAACCAGAAUAUUAUGUGACGAUUGUUGUAAAAACAUGUAAAUAUAUAUUUAAUGGAUUCCAAUGAUAUAUGUCCUCAUAUCUUGCUCAACGAGCCACAACAUUAGAAAUCGUCAAGCCAUUGGCCGAGCAAUUGUGAGCACUGACUGCUACAUGAUCACGAUGAUCAAUAAAUCUCCCUGUAAAGAAGGCUGGUCGCUCAGGUUUAGAAAGACUAAUGGUUUCACUUUUCAACAUAAGAACAACUGAUGACAUGGUCGGCCUGUUGUUUGCAUCUUCUUGAACACACAAUAAUCCGAUAUGAACGUAUCUCAGGAAUUCAUUUGGACUGCAUGAGCCUUUCAACAACGGAUCCAUCAACUCCAACACUUUCCCUUCAUUCCAUAAUUUCCAAGCCUGCAAUUAUAAUUUCAUGCUAAUUAAGAUGUAGUGAUAUAUUGAUUAUAAAUUUCUAUAUACCUACAUAUAUUUGUUUGAGAUAUUUUUGUAUAAGCUAACUCUCAAGUAAAGACUUUACGUACGUAGCCUAUAAGAGUCGGUGCACCAUUUGUCGGAUGAAAACCCAAAAAGUUCUUUCUCCCCGUUGUGAUCUCAAGCAAAAGUACUCCGAAGCUAUAUACAUCAGAUUUUAUUGAAUACAAUCCCUCCAUAGCAUACUCUGGAGCCAUGUAACCACUAAAUUGCAAAAACAGCUAAGAAUUUGAAUAUGUAAGAUAAUUAACUAAAUAGAGGAAAGUAUAUAUAUAUGAGUUGAAACUUACUAGGUGCCGACAAUUCUUUUGGUGUUUCCUUGAGUUUGAUCAUCCACUCCAAACAUUCUUGCCAUACCAAAAUCUGAUAUUUUUGGAUUCAUAUUUUCAUCUAACAGGAUGUUACUCGCUUUUAGAUCACGAUGUAUAACUCUAUGCCUUGAAUCUUCAUGAAGAUAUAAAAUUCCUCGAGUGAUUCCUCCUAUUAUCAUGCAACGGCUUGACCAAUCCAGCUGUUCACGUUUCCUGGAUUCUAUAUGCUCACUUCAAUUCAUUAAAUAUAUACAAUAAUAUUGUAUCUAAGUUCGAAAUUACUAAUUUUUUUUUCAGAAUUAUGUCCUCUUACCAAAAAGAAAAUAAUCAAGACUUUUGUUUCGCACAUAUUCAUAAACAAGUAGGGUUUCCUCUCCUUCCAAACAAAAUCCCAGGAGCCUAACAAGAUUUCUGUGUUGAAGUUUGGCUACCAAUGCAACCUCGUUCUUAAAUUCUUGGACGCCUUGUCUAGAGCUUUUUGACAACCUCUUCACUGCAAUUUCUUGUUCAUUAGCAAGUGUUCCCUGACAUAUGAGGCAUUCUAUCCAAUCAAUUUCGGUUGCAUACAUCUUAUAUAUGUUGAGAAUAGUACAAGUUGAACCCGAGAUUCUAAGAAUUGAGCACUGUAUAUUAAGAAUCAAUAAUUUCAAAGACAAAAUAAGGGUAGAUAUAUGUUCCCAUUUUCAAUUUUCAUACCUUGAAAACUACACCAAAUCCGCCUUCACCUAACUUGUUAUUAUCAGAAAACUUGUUUGUGGCGGUUUCAAUGGUUCCCAAGUCGAAUUGCAAGGACUCAACAGUCUUUGUAUCAUCCUUAGCUAAGACAGAGUUUCAAAAUAUUACACGUAAACUAUUCAUGAUAAACUAAUCCAACCGAUUUCAGGAAACUAAAUUGGCAAAAGUUCCAACAUGAGAUGAGAUAGUGUGACAAUAAGCGUUGCACUUACCUUCAACUUCAAGUUGUAACCCUCGUUUCUUGACUCUCGAGUAAAUGCAUAUGCUGCUGAGAAUGGUAACAAAAGCAACCAAAACCACGACCACCACGAUGAUGAUAAUUACUUUUCUGUUACUCUUCUUUGCUUCUGGAACCGGAGGUGGAAUAUUUGCUGGCGACACUAAAAGUUCACGACACCAUAAAUUGGAAUUGUUACUGAAUUACAAUUAAUAUCUUUUUGGGGGAUAGUGUAUACCUUUAGGCCCUUCUCUGAUGGAGGCUGGCGGCGGUGGGGCGGAGGAGUAGAAGGGGUAAAUUUCAAACCUAAGAUUGCAACUGGGUUUUAGAACUCGUCCCCCAGCAUUGCUUCUAGGAGUUUGUGUUGCAGCUUCCAGAAGACACCAAUUGCAAUCUCCAGACAACAGAUCCUGCGUGCACUGCCCAAAUCCGUACAGCGUAAUGAAACCUGAAACACUCGUUUCUUUCGUCGCAAACAUGUGACUGCUAUUGGAAGUCUGAGCGGCCACCUCGGUGACCGUAGCUGCCAGUACCUUGUUGAACAGGUUUUGGUCCGUUAUACCACUUGCAUUCUGCGUGUUCCACAUGUACAAGCUAGGCGAUUCGGCCGAGGUGGAAAAGAAUGACUCGUCGGAGUAGCGUAGCAUGCAGUCGUCGUACCAGAUCACCACCUGUUUCUCUAUGGGGCAGCGUUCUGGGGCCUCGGCGGUUACGGUGGCGACACAGGUUUCGCAAGCGUCGGUGCCCACGACGUCGCCGCGGCAGAGGAAGAGGCCGUAGACGGCGUUGUUUGGGGUUUGGACGGUGGCGUUGUAGAAGCCGGUGGAGCGGUUGGAGUUGGAGGAGAGGGUGGAGAGGAGGCGGUUGACGUUGGACUGGAAGGUGGAGUUUGGGGUGAAGGUGGUGGUGUUUGAGCAGACGUGGUAGAGAUAAACUGCUUCCGUAAUGGUCAGAAAGCUGGGCAGAGUAAAAAUGGAGAAAAUCAAAAGAAGG